Molecule: ribosomal RNA, 397 nt
Filed under: uncultured bacterium
Lineage: Bacteria
Description: partial 16S ribosomal RNA
Rfam family: Bacterial small subunit ribosomal RNA
Source: RNAcentral
AUACGUAGGUGGCAAGCGUUGUCCGGAAUUAUUGGGCGUAAAGCGCGCGCAGGUGGUUCCUUAAGUCUGAUGUGAAAGCCCCCGGCUCAACCGGGGAGGGUCAUUGGAAACUGGGGAACUUGAGUGCAGAAGAGGAUAGUGGAAUUCCAAGUGUAGCGGUGAAAUGCGUAGGGAUUUGGAGGAACACCAGUGGCGAAGGCGGCUUUCUGGUCUGUAACUGACACGGAGGCCCGAAAGCGUGGGGAGCAAACAGGAUUAGAUACCCUGGUAGUCCACGCCGUAAACGAUGAGUGCUAAGUGUUGGGGGGUUUCCGCCCCUCAGUGCUGCAGCUAACGCAUUAAGCACUCCGCCUGGGGAGUACGGUCGCAAGACUGAAACUCAAAUGAAUUGACGGGG